GGCUUCUUCGCUCCCUCCCUCUCCCGGCCCCGCGCCCCCUUACCCGUGGCGGCCGCUACGCUGGCCACGCUCCAGCGAAAUGAGGUAGGCGGCGAGUUUGGCGUCGCUCCAGCCGCUGCGGCGUCUCAGGUCCACCCAGGGGCCGUGCGCCUCGCCCAGGACGGCGAUCCCACAUUCCUGCUGCCGUGGGUAGUGGACAAAGAUGCGCUGGAUAACGUUACGGGGCCGGAAGACCUCCUUGGGGAAAACAUCCAGCAGCAGCUAGGCCAGUGCCUGGUACAUGGUAAAUGCCCAACACCGAUCAACUGUGCGUGAAUAAGUAGUAAGUUUCUACAAAACGUAGAAAAAUCUUAACAGCGAGGUAGCGUGUGUGCGUGUGUGUGUGUGUAUGUAUGUGGGUGGCCUGGCACAAUUCCGGGUCUCUGAGAGAGGCUGGAAGGUUCCAAUGCCUGCCUCACAGACCAAGUGUGGCCCGAGUCCGCUGUCCCACCUGUGAAACCGAACGCCUUCAGCAAGAGGUGCCCAGCAACCUUUCUUCACACGUUCCCAAGCCUGCACCCCAAAAGGUCACAGUGCCCUGAUUCUGAGGCCAAGUUGAAGGUUAUCCUCCCCGGCUCUACCAGGCCUGGAAGUGGACGCCCCAAUCGUAGACAGUCCCAUAGCCUUCCCACACGCGACCCACCUACUCACGCGGCCAGCCGAGGACCCGAGCCGGCUCGGUGGGACCGCUGGGCGCCGUCAUGUUGAGCCACAGAGCUUCCGGUUACGAGUCGAAGGUGACAGCAAAUCAGAAAAGCCUAUGACGAUAGGUCCCGCCCUCAAGAAGAGAUCCACCAAUAGGAAGGCGGGAAGACACUGGUUUCGCUUCAGGGACAGGCCCUGCCUCUCACUGAACGCCAGAAGCCUGGAGACCUUGGGUACCUGCGCCAAAGCGCUGGAUCGGGUGCCCCGGCGUCCGUUCGGUCCAGUUUCCUCCCCCGUGAUGGUAAAUUAUUAUUGUUACGGAUUGGAAGCACCACAUCCGGUUCGGAGCCCAGGGCCUCUUGCGUACUAAACAAGCACUCUACCGCUGGCAACUAAGCCACAGCCCCAAGUCCCAGGAUUUAUUCUUUUUACUAAACGGGUUUUGUUUGUUUGUUU
This is a long non-coding RNA of Grammomys surdaster, 1140 nucleotides long. RefSeq lists it as uncharacterized. Lineage: Eukaryota; Metazoa; Chordata; Mammalia; Rodentia; Muridae. The transcript is spliced from 3 exons. The record is from RefSeq and is a predicted model, not a curated record.